Molecule: long non-coding RNA, 340 nt
Organism: Fukomys damarensis (Damara mole-rat)
Lineage: Eukaryota; Metazoa; Chordata; Mammalia; Rodentia; Bathyergidae
Exons: 4
Source: RefSeq, a predicted model, not a curated record
CCAGAGCUUUCAGAAUAAACCUGUUAUCAAAUAGGCAUCUUUCUGCUGGAUGGAGAGGGUCAAUCAUUAACUUUGCAAUGGCUUUGAACUCGCAGUUCCCAUUCGCAUCAGAAGGCCACCAGCUCUGUUGGAGUGGGCAGUUAACAAGGCAGAUUCCAAUUAUACUUGACAUCCAGCUGAGACAUCCAUCUUUUACCCACUUUCCUGAUCAAGGAUCGAACUCAGAUCCUUGUGCUUGCAAGGCAGGUGGCUGAUGGCUAAAAUUUUGAAUGUGCGGAGAGCAGCGCAGAGAGAUGGCUGUCGGGAGGCCCGGAUGUCCUGACGGAGACCCGGAUGCAAG